RNAcentral lists this ribosomal RNA (467 nucleotides) under uncultured bacterium. Its description in RNAcentral is "partial 16S ribosomal RNA". It matches the Rfam family "Bacterial small subunit ribosomal RNA", at positions 28 to 507 of the family's 1533-position model. The record is from RNAcentral.
GACGAACGCUGGCGGCGUGCUUAACACAUGCAAGUCGAACGGAAAGGCCUCUUUCGGGGGGUACUCGAGUGGCGAACGGGUGAGUAACACGUGAGUAACCUGCCCUUGACUUUGGGAUAACUUCAGUAAACUGGGGCUAAUACCGGAUAGGAGCUCCUGCUGCAUGGUGGGGGUUGGAAAGUUUCGGCGGUUGGGGGUGGACUCGCGGCUUAUCCGCUUGUUGGUGGGGUAGUGGCUUACCAAGGCUUUGACGGGUAGCCGGCCUGAGAGGGUGACCGGCCACAUUGGGACUGAGAUACGGCCCAGACUCCUACGGGAGGCAGCAGUGGGGAAGAUUGCACAAUGGGUGGAAGCCUGAUGCAGCAACGCCGUGUGCGGGAUGACGGCCUUCGGGUUGUAAACCGCUUUCGCUCAUGACGAAGCUUUGUGUGACGGUAGUGGGUAAAGAAGCACCGGCUAACUACGUG